GUUUCUUAUUUAUAUAGUUUAAAAAAAACAUUACAUUUUCAUUGUAAAAUUAAAUAACUACCAUUUUAUAA
This 71-nucleotide transfer RNA is filed under the name Sulabanus lalui. RNAcentral describes it as "tRNA-Glu". Lineage: Eukaryota; Metazoa; Arthropoda; Insecta; Coleoptera; Lycidae. The record is from RNAcentral.